This 433-nucleotide ribosomal RNA is filed under the name Rhodotorula sp. 1 GAMM-2015. RNAcentral describes it as "eukaryotic LSU rRNA". It matches the Rfam family "Eukaryotic large subunit ribosomal RNA", at positions 70 to 509 of the family's 3401-position model. The record is from RNAcentral. Lineage: Eukaryota; Fungi; Basidiomycota; Microbotryomycetes; Sporidiobolales; Sporidiobolaceae.
AAGGAUUCCCCUAGUAGCGGCGAGCGAAGCGGGAAGAGCUCAAAUUUAUAAUCUGGCACCUUCGGUGUCCGAGUUGUAAUCUCUACAAAUGUUUUCCGCGCUGGACCGCACACAAGUCUGUUGGAAUACAGCGGCAUAGUGGUGAGACCCCCCUAUAUGGUGCGGAUGCCCCGCGCUUUGUGAUACAUUUUCUAAAAGUCAAGUUGUUUGGGAAUGCAGCUCAAAUUGGGUGGUAAAUUCCAUCUAAAGCUAAAUAUUGGCGAGAGACCGAUAGCGAACAAGUACCGUGAGGGAAAGAUGAAAAGCACUUUGGAAAGAGAGUUAACAGUACGUGAAAUUGUUGGAAGGGAAACGCUUGAAGUCAGACUUGCUUGCCGAGCAAUCGGUUUGCAGGCCAGCAUCAGUUUUCCGGGAUGGAUAAUGGUAGAGAGAA